CAGCCGCCGCGGGAAUACGUAGGUCCCGAGCGUUGUCCGGAUUUAUUGGGCGUAAAGCGAGCGCAGGCGGUUAGAUAAGUCUGAAGUUAAAGGCUGUGGCUUAACCAUAGUACGCUUUGGAAACUGUUUAACUUGAGUGCAAGAGGGGAGAGUGGAAUUCCAUGUGUAGCGGUGAAAUGCGUAGAUAUAUGGAGGAACACCGGUGGCGAAAGCGGCUCUCUGGCUUGUAACUGACGCUGAGGCUCGAAAGCGUGGGGAGCAAACAGGAUUAGAUACCCCUGUAGUCCUGUCUCUUAUACAC
Molecule: ribosomal RNA, 301 nt
Filed under: uncultured bacterium
Lineage: Bacteria
Description: partial 16S ribosomal RNA
Rfam family: Bacterial small subunit ribosomal RNA
Source: RNAcentral